RNAcentral lists this ribosomal RNA (771 nucleotides) under uncultured Neocallimastigales. RNAcentral's name for it is "partial large subunit ribosomal RNA". The stretch from base 5 to 661 matches the Rfam family "Eukaryotic large subunit ribosomal RNA", at positions 24 to 664 of the family's 3401-position model. The record is from RNAcentral. Lineage: Eukaryota; Fungi; Neocallimastigomycota; Neocallimastigomycetes; Neocallimastigales.
GAGUCUCGCACAGAUGCAUAUCAAUAAGCGGAGGAAAAGAAACUAACAAGGAUUCCCUCAGUAACGGCGAGUGAAGCGGGAAGAGCUCAAAUUUGAAAUCUUGAAAGGUCACCUUUCACGAAUUGUAGUUUAAAGAAGUGUUUUCUGUUACGAUCGUAAUAUAAGUUCUUUGGAAUAGGACAUCACAGAGGGUGAGAAUCCCGUCUAUGAUUGCGAUUUGUAGCUUUGUGAUACACUUUCAAAGAGUCGGGUUGUUUGGGAAUGCAGCCCAAAACGGGAGGUAAAUUUCUUCUAAGGCUAAAUAUUGGCGAGAGACCGAUAGCGAACAAGUACCGUGAGGGAAAGAUGAAAAGAACUUUGAAAAGAGAGUUAAAUAGUACGUGAAAUUGUCAAAAGGGAAGCGUUUAACACCAGUGUUGUUUUCUGAAAAUCAACCUCUGUUAGCUUUAUGCAUGUUUGUUUAGACCUAAUCAGCUAUCUUGCAUGUUCUAUUGUUUGCAGUGGUGCACUUUUCAGUUUACAGGUCAACAUCAGUUUUUUUUACCGUAAAAAAGUUAAAGAAAGGUAGCUCAUGGCUCCGGUCGUGAGUGUUAUAGUCUUUUUCCUAUGCGGUAGGAGAGACUGAGGUCUGCAGGUGUAGGCUAUUUGGCUAGAUACUCAGGUGCUAUGUGAUACCAUUUCAUAAACAACUUGUUGAUUAUGUUUUGUCUAUUGCAUACUCGCUUGUACUAUCAUACCUACGCUUAGGAUGUUGAGUCGUAGAGCACGCAG